This is a non-coding RNA of Aedes albopictus (Asian tiger mosquito), 68 nucleotides long. NCBI's taxonomy places the organism in Eukaryota, Metazoa, Arthropoda, Insecta, Diptera, Culicidae. The record is from Rfam.
UGCCCAGCAACUCCUAUCCUUACCUCCUCGCGGUACCGGCCGGAAACUAUGAGCAAUCUUAGGGAAGA